Molecule: ribosomal RNA, 404 nt
Filed under: Pseudomonas sp.
Lineage: Bacteria; Pseudomonadati; Pseudomonadota; Gammaproteobacteria; Pseudomonadales; Pseudomonadaceae
Also listed under: 2 other names
Description: partial 16S ribosomal RNA
Rfam family: Bacterial small subunit ribosomal RNA
Source: RNAcentral
UGGGGAAUAUUGGACAAUGGGCGCAAGCCUGAUCCAGCCAUGCCGCGUGAGUGAUGAAGGCCCUAGGGUUGUAAAGCUCUUUCACCGGUGAAGAUAAUGACGGUAACCGGAGAAGAAGCCCCGGCUAACUUCGUGCCAGCAGCCGCGGUAAUACGAAGGGGGCUAGCGUUGUUCGGAUUUACUGGGCGUAAAGCGCACGUAGGCGGACUUUUAAGUCAGGGGUGAAAUCCCGGGGCUCAACCCCGGAACUGCCUUUGAUACUGGAAGUCUUGAGUAUGGUAGAGGUGAGUGGAAUUCCGAGUGUAGAGGUGAAAUUCGUAGAUAUUCGGAGGAACACCAGUGGCGAAGGCGGCUCACUGGACCAUUAGUGACGCUGAGGUGCGAAAGCGUGGGGAGCAAACAGG